AUACGUAGGUGGCAAGCGGUGACCGGAAUUAUUGGGCGUAAAGCGCAUGUAGGCGGUGCCUUAAGUCUGUCGUGAAACUGCGGGGCCUAACCCCGUACGGCGAUGGAAACUGUGGCACUUGAGUGCAGGAGAGGAAAGGCGAACUCACAGUGUAGAGGUGAAAUGCGUAGAUGUUGGGAAGAACACCGGUGGCGAAGGCGCAUUUCUGGACUGUGUUUGACGCCGAGAUGCCAAAGCCAGGGUAGCGAACGGUAUUAGAUACCCCGGUAGUCCUGUCCUUAAACGAUGGGUACUAGGUGUGGGAGGUAUCGACCCCUUCCGUGCCGGAGUUAACGCAAUAAGUACCCCGCCUGGGGAGUACGGCCGCAAGGCUUAAACUCAAAUGAAUUGACGGGG
RNAcentral lists this ribosomal RNA (396 nucleotides) under uncultured bacterium. RNAcentral's name for it is "partial 16S ribosomal RNA". It matches the Rfam family "Bacterial small subunit ribosomal RNA", at positions 523 to 918 of the family's 1533-position model. The record is from RNAcentral.